Long non-coding RNA from Rhincodon typus (whale shark), 2768 nucleotides. RefSeq lists it as uncharacterized. The transcript has 2 exons. NCBI's taxonomy places the organism in Eukaryota, Metazoa, Chordata, Chondrichthyes, Orectolobiformes, Rhincodontidae. The record is from RefSeq and is a predicted model, not a curated record.
CUUUUCCACACUAUGUUCCACUUAACAAGUUUUUACCCAUUCAUUUAACUUGUCUAUAUCCCACAGACCUUAGCUUUUCCGGUGAUCAUCAUUGUUAGGCUACAUACAAACACCAGCACACAUACAUUGGCCUACGCUAAGUCCCAUUCACCCAUCAUUUUUUGGUUCCUGGGACUCUCCUUUAGCUCUCACUUUACCUUGUUUACAAAUCCUAAUCCCUCUGGGGAUUCAUUCAAACCUACCUUCCCGAUCACUGUUAACCUGAUGUCCCACUCUGUGUCCAAUGAAUCUUACAUUUAUAUGUGCGUAUUCAUUACCCUGCCUUCACACCCUCUGCCAAUCAAUCAGUAAUUCGUCUGCUGAUCCUAGCUACCUGUGAUGUGGUAAUUUUACACAGUGCUGUUCAGUUUUCUAGUUUUCCAUCAGAUGCAUACUGUAUUGUAACACAAUCCACCACUUUUUGAACCCCAUAAGCCCCUUUCUAGCCAUUUUCUCUUGUGACUUUGUACGGCAAUUUCAAUUUGCAUUAUUGCAAGUCAAAAAUCGGCAGAUUUUCUUUGUAUUUCUUUAUUUGCAUAACCUGCAUUUAAUUUCUGCUAUUUGUUCAAUCAAAAUGUCAGUGGCAUAUUAUAAUGCUGAGUCCUCAUGACCCAGCCACAUUUAAGCACAAGCUGGGAGUCCUUUGUACCCAGUAACUGAUAUUUUAUCCUUGAUGUAUACAUUUACUGAAAUACUUGAAUUCAAAUGUAAUUAUUUUGGGUCUUUAGCAUUUGAAUUGUCGUCAUGUGUGUUCUUUUGUUUAUUUCUCAGAGUAUGGAAGCUUGGAAUUGUGAAAUUUGAGAAAUAUUUUAUUAGCCAAUAUGUUUGUUGUCCAAAUUUCCACAUUCUGAGCGUGCUGUUAGAUUUCUUUGAAAACACACUUGUUUGAUCUCUUUUCCUCCCCAGCAUCUUUUAAAUAUUUAUUUAUUAUUUUCUCUUUAUGCUGGCACUAUCAAGAUUGGGAAGCCUCUAUAUGGGGAAUCACAGAUCAGAAUUGACAGCAAUAAUGAAAGGAGUGUCGUGACAAAAGCUUCCCACAGCCCAAAUGUUUUCAGUGAGAGCGCUCGACAGCGUGUGGGCAAGGAGCGUGCUCAGAAAAAGGAGAAGCCAGAGAGUCCCACAGACAACCAGCAAGUGCUGGUCAAUGGAGUAUCUUAAAUCUCAUUCCUGUAAAGUGACGUUCUCUCUAAAUUUCCUUUCAUUAACCAUACAAACCGGAUGCUUACAUGUCAUUUAGAGAAACCUUUUAGGCCAAAGACAUGAAACUCAUUUGUGCACAAUUGAUGCACAUGGUCCACGUUGUCUUUUGGUGGACAGGUGGAACAUUUGUGAUGUAACCAUUUUCAUUUCACUUAGCAAAACUCCUUUUUAAAGAAAAGAUUUACAACAGAGUAUAUUGUUUGAUCUGUGCCUUCAAUAUAACUUGCCAGAAGGGGGUAACCUUACUAUAGUUGCAGAAAUCAGGGAAGCUAAAUGAGCAGAAGACAGUUGCAUUGUAUUAUACAUCUAUGUAGAUAAAAAGUGUGGUUAAAUAUUGGGGAACCUUUACAGAAGAAUGCAUGCUUUUCAUGAUUUCAUGAUUUUCCUUAUAUAUGCAUCUAGCUGAACAGUAAAGGAUCAGAAAUCCUUGCACUGAAGUUUGUAUGGCAUUGAUCAGACUGUGGGAGGGCACUUUUUUCUUUACACCUCUGCAUUUGAUGUACAAGAGUAAAUGUAAAGAAUUAAAUAGUGUACUGUUUGAAAGGCAUAAAAUGCCUGAAGAUUGUUGCCAAACUGAUGAUUUGUAGUUAUUUAUUUUUGGGAAUGUACAGUAUUUGGGGAGGAAAAAGCUUUGUUUAUGUACCUGUCCACUAUGGGCUAUUGUGUUAACUUAGUGUAGAUGAUUAACAAAGGUAGAUUGACCUUACAGUAUAUGAAUCUGCAACAGGGGCAAUAUUUUUCUCUGUACAUAGUAGUGAAAACAAAUAAUUUGGUUUUAUGUUGAUAUUGUUUGGUUGAAGUGCAAUAUAUUUUGUAUGCAAGCAGUUUCAAUUAAUAAAGUUUGAUCUUCCUCUGCUGACUGUAGGACAAAAUUUACUUCCUGCUAAUUUGCCACCAUACAAUUUGAGUUGUAGUGGUUAUUAAAGGAAAUGACAGAACAUGAUGUUGCAGCAUAUAAAUUACAAGGCUUGCAUUGUUUUUUAUUCCGUUUUCAUUGCCAUAUGUUAUUUGGUUGUACAAGUCAUUAUAAUUUUCGGAACUACAUUGCCCCAAAGUUUGGUGACAGUCGUGAUAUCAAAACCAUCAGUGUCACCAUCGCUAUUCCUCUGAAACUGGUGCAACUUCUAGAGUCUGCACGUGCAUAAUUGAAUGCAAAAAUCCCAAAGUUACUCUGAGUGGUUCUGUGCCAUUCUGCAGAUGGUGUAACGUGAAGUAUCCCCCAACUACAAUUAAUUGGAAAUCACUGAAGUGACAAAAACUUGUCGUUUUAUGCUAUUUUGCUGUAAAAUCCCUUGACAAAUGAACAUAGAAUGAGAAUCCUUGUAGAAUGAGGUGCAGUUGGGUUUUAAGUGGCACACUAAGUUCAUAAUAAUUGCUGAAAACCCUGAUAGUGCAAACUUAUAUUUGUGGAAUGUUAAAUUUCGUAUUCUUUAAAGAGUUGUUUAUGAUUCUAUAGCUUCUAAUUUAAUUCCAUGUGUAUUGUUUUCUGUCAAGUUCAAUUAAAAGUGAAGGAUAAUCAGUGCAUUUUA